CAGAAGAUAGUUUAUAUAAAAUAUUAAUUUUGGGGAUUAAUGAUGAGAAUUUUCUUUCUUCUGA
This 64-nucleotide transfer RNA is filed under the name Ocellarnaca braueri. RNAcentral's name for it is "tRNA-Pro". Lineage: Eukaryota; Metazoa; Arthropoda; Insecta; Orthoptera; Gryllacrididae. The record is from RNAcentral.